RNAcentral lists this ribosomal RNA (499 nucleotides) under uncultured bacterium. RNAcentral's name for it is "partial 16S ribosomal RNA". It matches the Rfam family "Bacterial small subunit ribosomal RNA", at positions 28 to 523 of the family's 1533-position model. The record is from RNAcentral.
GAUGAACGCUGGCGGCGUGCUUAACACAUGCAAGUCGAACGAAGCACUUUAUUCGAUUUUCUUCGGAGAUGAAGAUUUAGUGACUGAGUGGCGGACGGGUGAGUAACGCGUGGAUAACCUGCCUCACACUGGGGGAUAACAGUUAGAAAUGACUGCUAAUACCGCAUAAGCGCACAGUACCGCAUGGUAUGGUGUGAAAAACUCCGGUGGUGUGAGAUGGAUCCGCGUUUGAUUAGCCAGUUGGCGGGGUAACGGCCAAACAAAGCGACGAUCAAUAGCCGACCUGAGAGGGUGACCGGCCACAUUGGGACUGAGACACGGCCCAAACUCCUACGGGAGGCAGCAGUGGGGAAUAUUGCGCAAUGGGGGAAACCCUGACGCAGCGACGCCGCGUGAGCGAUGAAGUAUUUCGGUAUGUAAAGCUCUAUCAGCAGGGAAGAAUAAAUGACGGUACCUGACUAAGAAGCCCCGGCUAACUACGUGCCAGCCGCCGCGGUAA